This 378-nucleotide ribosomal RNA is filed under the name uncultured bacterium. RNAcentral describes it as "bacterial SSU rRNA". It matches the Rfam family "Bacterial small subunit ribosomal RNA", at positions 367 to 762 of the family's 1533-position model. The record is from RNAcentral.
CGCAAUGGGCGAAAGCCUGAUGGAGCAACGCCGCGUGCAGGAUGAAGGCUCUCGGGUCGUAAACUGCUUUUAUAUGUGACGAUUAUGACGGUAGCAUAUGAAUAAGGAUCGGCUAACUCCGUGCCAGCAGCCGCGGUCAUACGGAGGAUCCAAGCGUUAUCCGGAAUUACUGGGCGUAAAGAGUUGCGUAGGUGGCAUUGUAAGUCGAUAGUGAAAGCGUGGGGCUCAACCCCAUAUCCAUUAUCGAAACUACAAAGCUAGAGGAUGAGAGAGGUUAUUGGAAUUCCCAGUGUAGGAGUGAAAUCCGUAGAUAUUGGGAGGAACGCCGAUGGCGUAGGCAGAUAACUGGCUCAUUCCUGCCCCUCACCACGAAAGCGU